GGCGGCGCGGCCCCGGCGGGGCUGGGCAGGGCAGGGCUGGGCUGGGCCUCGCCGCGCCUCGCCGCCAGGGGCGCGGGCUCCCCUCGCCGCCGCCCCGCGCCCCGCUGACAGCCGCCCUGACAGCCGCGCCGCCAUUUAACCCUCCCCCCGCCGCCCGCCGGGCCGGCCCGGGCGCCGCCGCCGCCGCCGCCGCCGGAGGUGAGUGAGCGCCCGCCCGCCGGCCGCUGAGGGAAGGAUCACGCCGGUGCCGCGGGCAGCAGCGGCACGGAGCUUUCAGGUGUUCUGGGAAAAAAGUGCCUGCACUUCGGAGCUGAAGAAGGACAUGAGGAGUAAAAGGACCUGGGAUCUCACUGGUCAGAAUGAAACAGAUGUUGAAAGAUUUUUCAAAUCUGUUGUUAGUAGUGCUCUGUGACUAUGUUCUCGGUGAAGUGGAGUAUCUCCUGUUGGAGCGCGCAGGUCAUGUAGCCUUCAGCAAUGAUACAGUGUCUGUGGAAUACCAGUACUAUAAUGGUGGUAAUGUGUCAGCAGAGCAUCUGUCCAUCCUGUUGCUGGAUGCCAGCACCAACGAGAUAAUUGCAAGAAAACAGCUUCCAGCAAAUCAGUCCCAGGGGAUGGUAGAGUUUGAGUGUUUCCAUUUCAAGAGUGCUGGGGACUUCUUGUUCAGAAUGGUCUCUCCCAGCGAUAAUGGCAGUGCUGCCCAGUGGAGCAGAAGAAGCACGUCCAGCCUCCAUGUGGAAUGGCCUGUAUUUCACAUUGAUUUGAACAAGAGUUCAGAGGUGCUUGGGAACUCCCUUCAAGUUGGACUUUUUACAAAUGAGCAGUUGUGUGCCAUGAACAAGACAGUGGUUUCGCUGGAUGUGAUAUUCACCAGCACCCUUUAUGAAUUCAGAAGAGUAAGCUCUGAUGGGACUCUGGGCAUUAGAACUAGCAAAGGAAUCCCACUCUCUAGGUCCCAGUGGGUAGAGUUUGACUGCCCACCUGUUGGUCAAGAAACAUACAUCACUGUGUUACUGAAAUCGUUAGAAACACAUUCCAUCAUUGCUUCCAUAGGACCCAUAGAUCUCCUCCACAAAUUUGGAUACAGACUGGUUGUGGCAUCAGAAGCAACAUGCAAAACUUUGGUUCAGGUCUUCAUAGUCUCUCCACCGUGCACUUCUAUCAGCGGAAAAAUUGUCGUCUAUAAAGAGGACCUCAAACUUCCUAGUCAAAGAACAACUUGGCUGUAUGAAAACACCCUUCACCCAGGAGACAACAGGACAGAAUUUAACUGCACUUUGUUUGAUGUGGGGAAGAACAAAUACUGCUUUGACUUCUUUAAUUUCUCAAACCGAAGCCAUUUCCCAACAAGAGUUAAGGAGUGUAUGAUGAUCCAAAGGAAUAUGGAAACGUGGAGCCCGUGGCAGCCCUGGAGCCCCUGCAGUGUUACCUGCGGGGACGGCGUCCGUGAGCGCUUCCGAGAGUGCCUCACCUCCUCGCCGGCAAAACCAGGCUGUGCUGGAUCACCGAGGGAGACUUCCUUGUGUUCGCUGGAGGAGUGUUUGUCUAUCAAGCCUCCCACCCCACCUUCUGUCCAGCCAGGAGAGGACGAGAAAGCAAAUAAUAUAGUCACCAUCACAGGUAUCUCCUUAUGCUUGUUCAUCAUCUUUGCCACCGUUCUUAUCACCCUCUGGAGGAAGCUCUGCAGAGCUCAGAAGUGCAGCACCGCUGUCCGCCGAAACUCCGUCCAUUCCCCGGGCUUCCGCAAAAACUCCGACGAAGAGAACAUUUGCCAAGGAAACAAGCAGCGGGACAGCUUCGCUGAAGGAGGGGAUGCCCCUGUUAACAUUCCUCUGACCUACAGGCGAAGCCUCCAAUUUGCCCAAGAAGAUGAUGCCUCUGGAAGUGAGAACUUUCAGCCAAAUGCCCAAAAAAUAAUCCCUCCAAUCUUCAGCUACCGCCUGGCACAGCAGCAGCUGAAAGAGAUGAAGAAGAAAGGCCUGACUGAGACCACCAAGGUGUACCACGUCUCUCAGAAUCCCCUCACGGACACUGUUGUUGGUGCCACCACGAUGCUUCCCCUGAGUGGUGAAAACCAAGAGGAGGCAACAGCAAACAAAUUUAGGAUCAAAUCUCCAUUUCUGGACCAGCCAGUCAGUCAGCCCAAAUUCCUGGGAGAAGGCUCUCAUGCUAGGCUGGAUUUUCCAUUCUCACAGGCCAAUCCUGCAAUGAGCACUACCCAAACCUUGGUAAGAAGAGCUCAUUUCAAGCACCAGGAUAACAGAGGGGACUUGCCUGAGAGGGGCUCUCACAGAAAUCCGCAGUUUAGAAGAACAGCCAGUUUCCAUGAAACUAAAAAGGCCAGGCCUUUCAGAGAGAGAAGCAUGUCCACCCUCACCCCCCGACAGACUCCCCUCUACAACUCCAGGACCAGGACGUGGGACCAGGGUUUGGAGGACAGGACGCGGCCAAAAUCAAGAAGCGCUAAUCCCACUUGUGAAAAGCUGGAUCAGCCCCACAGCACUGUGCCGGGGUGUGAACCGCAGGGCCACGGCGCAAAGUGCCACCACAGGGCAGGUCCCCCGGUGAAGAAGCUGGACCUGAUCACCGACCGCCAGCCUGCUGGUCAGGAGAAGGCAGCUGAGAAGCAUGAGACCAGCCGAAGUAAGAGGGGCCCUUCACCAAACCCCAGAGGUGCGUGGCGGAAGGAAACAGGCUCGGCUGGCAAAGAUAAUUCCCAGAGAGGCCUGAGUGUAAGCCCUGCCCAGUACCGAAGGGACAAGUGCCAGAGCUUCCCCUUGGACCCUGAGUUUGCCUUUUACGAUAAUACUACUUUUGGCUUAACAGAGGCAGAGCAGCAGAUGAUCGACCUCCCUGGGUAUUUUGGCUCAAAUGAAGAGGAUGAAACAAGUACUUUAAGCAUUGAGAAGCUGGUGAUCUGAGUGACUCAUGGCAGCCCUGCAGGAGGGGCCUGCGCAGGAGAGGAUCUGCAGAAUCUCUUGGCUUCUGGUGGAAGGAGCAGCGGGAAUCGUGUUCCCUCCACACAGAGCAGAAGGGAAUAGUGCCCUAAGUCUGGCUUGUGGGAACACAUUCCUUUCUAAUUACCGGAAAGUGCUUCCGUAUCAUUAUUUUUUGUAUGUAUGUGUGUACAAUAAACACAAAAUACCUUGGGAAAGCACUUGUUAGUGAAGGCGUGAUGCAGGAAUAGCCAAUGGAUUUUAUUGCGUAAAUCGGUCACGUUUUGUGCAUCAUACAUGGUGAAUGCCACUGAUUUAGCCUUUCUAACCUUGUGGACUGUGUACUAGUAGAUUAUGAUGUCCUAAAGCAUCCAUUGUCCAAUAUCCUCAAGCAUCUGUCCUAAUUAGUGAAUCAUUUCCCAUUUAGAAAACACAAAUCUCAAGUUGUGAGCAGCUUUCUUCGUUUUGCUGGUAGUCGUUAUUGAACUGCGUUGAUUCGUCAUAGUUGCUCAAAUUAAGUCUUAUGCUGGUGUUUCUUUUAGCUGGUUGCAUGAAAGUGCAAACAACUGACGCUGAGUACUUGGAGUGAAUUUAAAAUUGCGGGGGCAUUUUUCAUCCUUCAAGACUUUGAUAUUUUCUUUCUGCUGAUAUUUAUACCAACACAACAGUAAUGUACAAAUAUUUGCAGGAAACGAGUAGAAAAGGGCAUGCUGCUGGGAGGGCAAAGAAAAUGGAUGAUCAGAUUUUAUUCCUCACAGAAAUGUUACUGCAGCAUUUAACCACCUGGAAAAGGCAGUGAGAGAACUGUUGAAUCACCCAUCCUUUCCAUAAUAAGCUUUGCCUUUAUUAAACGUUUUUUUUUUUUAAAUGUAAAUAAAUUGACAAUAAUUCUACUACAGCAAGCUCAAAAUAAAUUAUGAACAAAACCAACAAGCAACAAAUUUAUUUGAUGAAUACCUGUUUUGCGAACAAAAAGAAAAAAAUAAAAUGGCUUGACAACAUCUGGUGAUUCCCAGAGAAUCUUAAUGGUGAAGUACAAAAGUUAACCUUUUUUUGUUGUGUCGGGCUUUAAAACCAGAGAUCACAAAUUGGCAAUUACACACUGCUGCAAGUGUUCAGAGCUGGGUUGAAACCCCAGUUAACAACAAGAGACAGAGCUCGAGCCAGCGAGAAUGAGUCAGAGACUUUGCUUGGCAUUUGUUAGGAUAACCGUCUCUUCGGGGAACUUGCGAAGACCAGGGGAAUGCUCUUGGGCAAGAAAAGAGGAGCUGCUGCCUGCAGAGGCUGGAGUGAGAGAAGGUAGGUUCGGGCAGAGGACUGUCAGUCUUCAAACAGCUCUUCCAUAAGGAUCCCAGCCCCACGUGCCCUUUAACCCGCCUUGUGGGUGUGAAGGAAAAACGAGCCUGUGCUCAGUUCUUUGCCAGUAGGAUGCUAUUGUUCUCAAAACUGGCUUUCUGAGCAGGAAAAUAGAUUUCCCAAUCCCACGCUUUUUUUUUUUUCUCCAAACCAACAAUAAUUGUAAAGGGAGAGCAGCAUCGCGGUGCGUUAGCCAGUUACCGAUGGCGCCCCACUGAAGUGUCCAAAGCGUGCGCAGGUAACUUGACAGGCGCACAGCGGAAGGGCUUGCUAUGGCAGCCUCGGAGGAGCCAGAUGCUCGGCGUUUGCCCACCAGAGCCAAACCCCGCCAUUUGCCCGGCCUUUUUGAUGGGUGACGUUUUGCAGCUGCCGCCGGAGCACCGGCCCCGAUGCGCCGGGUGACGUGAGCUCCCUCUUUCCCGGGAGCUGCACCAGCACGCCGCGUUGUCGGUGUUCAGCCCUUCGGCCCAGUGCAGCGCAGCGUUCGUUCGCACCAGCUGUGCAUAAACUGUCAGCUUGAAAUGCUGCUGAAAGCUUUUGAGAACAUGUCCACACUUGAGAACCAAUGCAAGGCUAAUCAAAUGUAACGAGUCUUUAAAUUGACUUAAAUGAGCUGGAAAUCACACCUUUGAAGCAGUUGUUGCUCGGGUUACUUACGGGCUUGUGCGAGGGUAAACGCUGUGUGGAGCGCGUUCGCCCUGAAGCAGUGAUCUGUCAGCGUUAGACCUGCAGUGCUACAAUAUCUGCUUGCGGUUUUGAUGGGUUGUUGGCUGCUCAAUGAACUGUCAAAUCAAUAAUGCUGGCCCUUCGGUGCGGUAGUUGAUUUCCAGCAUGCAGAGUUGAGUAUCACUGGUCUCAUCUUUACCCUGCUUCCCUAGCCCUCUCCUGAACAGUGGCGUUGAGUAUCAUCUGCCUUGACAAAAAUGGUCCUUCCUGCCCUCAGCACUGCAUCAGCAGCCACGUGGUUCUAACACGUGCACAGUGAGCCCUUAUGUUCACGACACGCAGUUACAACCUUGCACUAAGAUUUUACCAUAGUAAAAUCCAGAAGUAGCGCUCAGAAAGGAAAUAGUACACGCUGGCUGUUUGCAGCCCUUUCUCCCCAAGGGCAACCUCAUUUCGAGAUGUAGGUGCAAGUUUCAUUCCACGCGGGUACGGGCCAACACUUGGGACGAGGGCAGAGCCUCGCCAGGGCACAGGCUUCAGGAGCACGGCUCCCUGGACUGCUGGCCCGUUGCACUCCGGAGUUUACGUUUGCGAUCGCUGGGAUGUCUGGAAAGAAGUGAGAAGAGGAUUCGCUGGGAUGUUUGGGAAGAAGUGAGAACAAGGUUCACCUGUUGACAAAGCAGAGGAACCAAAGCAAAUUUUACACUGAAUGUUCACAUGUCUCUGCAUUGUCUCCAGGACAGCUUGAGCCAUGGAAAUGAAACUGACCUUGCAGACCCUCUACACUACCCAGGACAGCAGGCGCAAAAGCACAAGGGCCAACACCAAAAGAACGAAAUUCUCAUAUUAUGAGCUUUCUCAAGAUUUUCACUUGUAUUUCUGUUCACGUUCCUACUGUUGAAAACCAGAUACAAGAUUUAAAGUCCUACUCAGAUGGUUUUAUUACACGCUUUAUGGAUAUAUAAAACAGAUUACAAUAUGUAUGAAUCUAAAAGCAAAUAUGUGGAAAAGAACUGCCAGUUUAAAAAAGUUAUUGUCAUUCAGAAAAAAAAAUAGGCUCAUUCUACAACAUGGUAGUUAAAUGAUUUGCAUCAAGCUGAUAUUACUGUUCAUUUUUAACUGUUGUUAUUAACAACGUGUGGAAAAUAAAUUCUCACUAUUCCACUU
Molecule: RNA transcript, 6122 nt
Organism: Chroicocephalus ridibundus (black-headed gull)
Lineage: Eukaryota; Metazoa; Chordata; Aves; Charadriiformes; Laridae
Gene: THSD1
Gene name: thrombospondin type 1 domain containing 1
Exons: 6
Source: RefSeq, a predicted model, not a curated record